GCAUCGAUGAAGAACGCAGCGAAUUGCGACAAGUAAUGUGAAUUGCAUAUACCGUGAAUCAUCAAAUCUUUGCAUGCACCUUGCACUAUUGUGAAUUCACGAUAGUACGUCUAUUUGAGUAUCAAUUAACCCAAUCAUCAUUAUUUGAUGUUAAUGAGGGAAUGUCGGACACUCCGAUAUCUCUUCAAGUUGAUGUUCAGCACUACUGUUGUUCAUGUCAAAUCAAUCUCAACCAUUGUUGAUGAUGUGUCUGCAAUAGUGUACUUAGCACUUUCAAAACCAUUGAUCUCAAAUUAGAUGAGGAUACCCGCUGAACUUAAGCAUAUCAAUAAGCGGAGGA
This 340-nucleotide ribosomal RNA is filed under the name uncultured fungus. RNAcentral describes it as "eukaryotic LSU rRNA". The stretch from base 1 to 124 matches the Rfam family "5.8S ribosomal RNA", at positions 30 to 154 of the family's 154-position model. Lineage: Eukaryota; Fungi. The record is from RNAcentral.